UCUGGCGGUUUUGCCGUCCGAGUUGUAAUCUGGAGAAGCGUUUUCCGCGUCAGACCGUGUACAAGUCUCUUGGAAUGGAGCGUCAUAGAGGGUGAGAAUCCCGUCCAUGACACGGACUCCUGAUGCUCUGUGAUACGCUCUCAAAGAGUCGAGUUGUUUGGGAAUGCAGCUCAAAAUGGGUGGUAAAUUCCAUCUAAAGCUAAAUAUUGGCGAGAGACCGAUAGCGAACAAGUACCGUGAGGGAAAGAUGAAAAGCACUUUGGAAAGAGAGUUAAACAGUACGUGAAAUUGUUGAAAGGGAAACGCUUGAAGUCAGUCGCGUCGUACGGAGCUCAGCCUUGCUUCUGCUUGGUGUAUUCUCCGUGUCGACGGGUCAACAUCAAUUUUGGCCGGUGGAAAAGGGCCUAGGGAAUGUGGCGUUGUUUCGGCGACGUGUUAUAGCCCUAGGUCGUAUGCAUCGGCUGGGAUUGAGGACCGCAGCACGCCCUUGUGGCCGGGGGUUCGCCCCACGUUUCGUGCUUAGGAUGUUGGCAAAAUGGCUUUAAGCGACCCGUCUUGAAACACGGACCAAGGAGUCUAACAUGCCUGCGAGUGUUCGGGUGGAAAACCCUUGCGCGUAAUGAAAGUGAAAGUUGGGAUCCCUCGAAAGGGGGUGCACCGACGCCCGGCCCUGACGUUCUCUGACGGUGCUGCGGUAGAGCAUGUAUGUUGGGACCCGAAAGAUGGUGAACUAUGCCUGAAUAGGGUGAAGCCAGAGG
RNAcentral lists this ribosomal RNA (758 nucleotides) under Hymenochaete sp. JAM-2020b. Its description in RNAcentral is "partial large subunit ribosomal RNA". It matches the Rfam family "Eukaryotic large subunit ribosomal RNA", at positions 121 to 858 of the family's 3401-position model. Lineage: Eukaryota; Fungi; Basidiomycota; Agaricomycetes; Hymenochaetales; Hymenochaetaceae. The record is from RNAcentral.